Non-coding RNA from Chelonoidis abingdonii (Abingdon island giant tortoise), 117 nucleotides. NCBI's taxonomy places the organism in Eukaryota, Metazoa, Chordata, Testudines, Testudinidae. The record is from RefSeq and is a predicted model, not a curated record.
AAAGUGAUUUCAGCUCAGCUGACUGUAUCUAGAGUCUUGAAGGAAUAAAAAUAACUCUGAAUUCCACAGUGGAGAGAGGAGGAGGUGCACUCACUGAUGCUUCUAGCUCCACAAGGA